GUUGCUAAGAGACAUCCUACCGCGGUUGGCCCUGGUUCGUGUGAAUGUGAGCCAGGUGUUGUUGAGUGUGGUUAGGUGUGGCAAGCUCUAAGGGGAGAGAG
This is a long non-coding RNA of Alosa sapidissima (American shad), 101 nucleotides long. RefSeq lists it as uncharacterized. The transcript is spliced from 3 exons. The record is from RefSeq and is a predicted model, not a curated record. Lineage: Eukaryota; Metazoa; Chordata; Actinopteri; Clupeiformes; Clupeidae.